AUUUUAAUAUGGUAAUUAUUAUCACAUAAUAUUGAACAACACGCUUAUAUCAUAUAGAUGAAAUUUUAUAUUUAAACUUUUAUGAGUAACAUUAUUCUUAAAACAUUUAUCUCACAUGAAAUGUUCAUGUGAUGAGACAUUUAUUUAGUCAAUAAAUUCUCGAGAUUUUUAAUAUAACAUUAGCGUUGUAAUCCCUAAAUUUAUUCAAAAAGUUUGUUUCAGACGAGGUAACUAUUAGGGUUAUCUUAUAUUUGAUUUGUAGAAAGAACCAUUAGUUAGUUGUAAGUGUGAGAGGAAGUCUCACCCAUUAAGUUAGUUUUUAGAAUCAAGAGAAAUUCAUUAAUACCAACAACAAUAACAUUGAUUAAAUGGAGAUGUUUGCCUGAGAAAAAUGAAAAAAAUUAUGCAGAGAGGAAAAUAAUAAGUUAAAUAUUUUACAGAAGAAUAACUUGUCACUUCCUAAUGGUGCAUUUACUUCAUAAAAUGAGAAUGAGGUUGAAUAUGAAUGGACUGGAAUGAGAAUAAAUAAUGAGAAUGAGAUUCUAAUAUUUACUUGAUAAAAAUAAAUGGAAGUGGGAAUGUGCUGGAAUGCCAUUGAUGUGUUUACUUGACAAAAUAAAUGGAAAUAAAUAAUGGAAAUGAGAAUCAAUUUACCAAAAU
RNAcentral lists this long non-coding RNA (660 nucleotides) under Citrus x clementina. Its description in RNAcentral is "Citrus clementina (C. clementina) long non-coding RNA (CCLE_LNC006422)". Lineage: Eukaryota; Viridiplantae; Streptophyta; Magnoliopsida; Sapindales; Rutaceae. The record is from RNAcentral.